AAUAGAUGAUGCCGUUGACUUUUUCUCACAUGUUUGACCAUUCGUCUUAUUCAAAAAAUUUACGUAAUUAUAAUUGAUAUAUGAGUUUGAGUUGUUUUUUCACUCAUAGUACUUUAAGUGUGAUUUAUAUCUUAUACAUUUGCAUAAAACUUUUGAAUAAGACGAAUGGUCAAACAUGUGAGAAAAAGUCAACGGCGUCAUCUAUU
Molecule: microRNA precursor, 206 nt
Filed under: Oryza rufipogon (brownbeard rice)
Lineage: Eukaryota; Viridiplantae; Streptophyta; Magnoliopsida; Poales; Poaceae
Description: MIR812 microRNA precursor family
Rfam family: MIR812 microRNA precursor family
Source: Rfam by way of RNAcentral